UGACCCUUCCGUUUUAUUAAAUUUUGUCAAAUGAAAAUACACAAAAAUUGAUAGUAAAUUCUACAUUUUUAUUCCCCAAAUUAAAUGCGAAAUGACAUGUUUUAGUUCCUUGCACCAACAAGCCUCUCUCUCAAAAUCUUCAUCCCCAUGUACCUUCCAAGCAUCAUGACAGUGGCUUGAGGAUUAGUGCCAGGUGAUUCAAUAAAUGUAGAUCCAUCAAUAACUCUCAAUCCAUCAAUUCCAACAACUUUAUAAUCUCUAUCAACCACUUUCCGAACUUGACAACCUCCAUGGUAAUGCCAUAUGGUGACUACAGUGUCGACACAAAAUUGUUCUAAAGAAACAGAAGCACUCAAAUGUCUUGGUCGCAAAUUGAGUGGAAAAGUUAACAUUGUAUUAAAUAAAGAUUGUGCUGUUGUAAAAGGGUAUUUAAAAUCGAAUAAAGAUGUUGAUUCUAUAACCUCUGCUAUUGUUCUCAUGCCUUGUACACAUCUUUGUAGGUCUCUCGGAUCUUUGAAGUAGUUGAAUGUUACUAGUGGAUUUACAUUUGGAUCUUUGCUACUAAGUUGAAGAAAACCACUUGAGAAUGGUCCUGCAAGUUUUUCUAGGAUUACACCUGCUUGUAUUGGGCUGUUUAGAAUGCCUCGGUUGAGCACAGAUGGAUCCAGACUCUGAUUGGCUAUCCUUGCAAAAUUAUUUGCCAUUGUGCGUAACCAAUCCAACUCCAAAGGCCCACUCGAAGCUUCAAUGUAACUUUCAAACUCAGUAAUACCAACAACUUGAAUGAGGGAAACUUCAACAGGUUUAGGAGAAGGAAUAAUGACAGCAUUCAUUGGGUUAUCAGACAUACCCAUACCAACCAUGGGUUGAUCCAAUAACACAGAGAUACCAUGGGCCUGUAGUUGUUCUGCUGGCCCAAUACCACUCAACAUUAACAUUUGUGGGCUUCCUAAUGCUCCAGCUGACAAGAGCACCUCAUUCAUGGAUCCUUCUUUCAAAUAGGCCAAGUGACUAUUACCUUGUGAAUCUUGAAAACGAACUCCAUUAGCUCUUGGCUUCAUUCCUCCACCUGCUGGUUUGAACAUGAUUUGUUGGACAGUGGCAUUUAAAAGCAGAGUAAUUUUGGUAGGAUUAGCAUACUCCAACAAAUCCGCAGCAGUAUGUCUCUGUCCUUGUGAAUCAAAUAUACUUCCACCAACUUUAGUCCCAUAUAAAUGUUGAUACGUAAAACCAUUAUCCGGUUUCACUCCCACUUCCAACAAACCAUUCUUCACGGCAGAUUGCCACUGCUUUACUUGUGGCUCAAACGCCACUUUCUUUUCCACCCAUUCAUACGAAUCUCUCACUAACUUCUCAUUCCAUCCCACUUUCUUAACGUACUCAUCACUCGCCCUCGUAAAGAACCCCGCAUUAAUAGCUGAACCACCACCUAAGACGCGAGCACGGUGGUUGAAGACACCGUCUGUAGAGAUGAAAAGUUGCGAGGGAGAUGACGGAGAAAUGUUAGCUAAGUUGCUUGAGAAACCGUUAAUGUUUGUGAUGUUUGGGUUUCCAUAGGGUAAGUCACCUCUUUCUAAUAACAGAACAUUGAACGAUUGUGAGAGUGUUGCUGCUAAUGCACAACCAGCAGUUCCUCCUCCUAUUAUGAUGUAAUCGAACGAAAUAACCUUUGGUGAUGACGUAGCAUCUCUCGCAAACGUCGAAUAUGGGGCUUUCUCAGAGAAACAAGGAAUGGAAAGAAUGAGAAUUCCAAAAAAAGAUGAAAAUAGGAAGGGGUUCCAACAUGAGCUAACCAUAUUCUAUUUCUAGAAUUAUAUUUGGACGUGUGAUAUAUAAUUAAGAAAUGUUAUAUAGAUAAAAUAAAAUAAAG
Molecule: unclassified non-coding RNA, 1870 nt
Filed under: Hevea brasiliensis (rubber tree)
Lineage: Eukaryota; Viridiplantae; Streptophyta; Magnoliopsida; Malpighiales; Euphorbiaceae
Source: RNAcentral